RNAcentral lists this ribosomal RNA (494 nucleotides) under bacterium H67. Its description in RNAcentral is "bacterial SSU rRNA". It matches the Rfam family "Bacterial small subunit ribosomal RNA", at positions 54 to 543 of the family's 1533-position model. The record is from RNAcentral.
CAUGCAGUCGAGCGGUAGAGAGAGCUUGCUUCUCUUGAGAGCGGCGGACGGGUGAGUAAUGCCUAGGAAUCUGCCUGGUAGUGGGGGAUAACGUUCGGAAACGGACGCUAAUACCGCAUACGUCCUACGGGAGAAAGCAGGGGACCUUCGGGCCUUGCGCUAUCAGAUGAGCCUAGGUCGGAUUAGCUAGUUGGUGGGGUAAUGGCUCACCAAGGCGACGAUCCGUAACUGGUCUGAGAGGAUGAUCAGUCACACUGGAACUGAGACACGGUCCAGACUCCUACGGGAGGCAGCAGUGGGGAAUAUUGGACAAUGGGCGAAAGCCUGAUCCAGCCAUGCCGCGUGUGUGAAGAAGGUCUUCGGAUUGUAAAGCACUUUAAGUUGGGAGGAAGGGCUGUAGAUUAAUACUUUGCUGUUUUGACGUUACCGACAGAAUAAGCACCGGCUAACUCUGUGCCAGCAGCCGCGGUAAUACAGAGGGUGCAAGCGUUAAU